This 216-nucleotide ribosomal RNA is filed under the name Glomeromycotina sp. Its description in RNAcentral is "partial small subunit ribosomal RNA". The stretch from base 40 to 216 matches the Rfam family "Eukaryotic small subunit ribosomal RNA", at positions 686 to 864 of the family's 1831-position model. Lineage: Eukaryota; Fungi; Glomeromycota. The record is from RNAcentral.
GGGUCAGUAGGUUGGUCGUGCCACCGGUACGUACUGGUCUCACUGAUUCCUCCUUCCUGAAGAACCGUAAUGCCAUUAAUUUGGUGUUGCGGGGAAACAGGACAGUUACUUUGAAAAAAUUAGAGUGUUUAAAGCAAGCUAACGCUUGAACACAUUAGCAUGGAAUAAUGAAAUAGGACGAUCGAUCCUAUUUUGUUGGUUUCUAGGAUUGACGUA